Molecule: long non-coding RNA, 692 nt
Organism: Camelina sativa (false flax)
Lineage: Eukaryota; Viridiplantae; Streptophyta; Magnoliopsida; Brassicales; Brassicaceae
Source: RefSeq, a predicted model, not a curated record
AUAACAAAAAAAUCUUCUUACUUACUCUGAAACUCCUCUAUUCAAAUGUUCCAACACUCUCUGUUUUAUUCUUGUGAUGAUCUGUUCUGCUUUAUUACUCUCUCAAGCUUAUCCCUGAUUUUCUCAUUCAUCAAGCCGAGCGACUAACCAUAAGAGACAUAUCACCCUGUAAGUUUAUGAAGAACACUAACUCGAAUGGAGUGUGUAAAUGGGAAGGUGAUCCACUCACUCACAUUCAAAUUGUUUGAAGGUCCAGACGGAGUAAUGAGAAUGCCAUACUUUGAUUUAGAGUAUGAGAUGUGUGACGUACGAUUGCUUGUAAGAGAUGUGAUGAUAGGUGUGUGUAUGUGUAUGUGCAAAAAUGUGAAGUGUGUGACGUAUGUAUUUGUAAAGAUGUGUAUAUGUACUUGUUGUAUAGAUGAAUGUGUAGGAUGUGGAGGUAUAGAAAUAGAAUGAUAGGGUGUAUAUAGAUAAGAUAAAUGUAUAGGGUGUGCAUGUGGAUGUGGACGGUAUAGAUGAAUGUUUAGGGUGUAGGUGUGUGUAUAGAUGAGAUAAAUGUAUAUAGGGUGUAUGGAUGAGAUAUUAUGAUGUGCAUGUGGAUGUCAUAGAUGAAGGUUUAGGUUAUAGGUGUGUGUAUAGACGAUAUAAAUGUAUAUAGGGUGAUAUAAAUGUAUAUCGUGAUUCGUGAUAAA